This 2293-nucleotide long non-coding RNA is filed under the name Glycine max (soybean). RNAcentral's name for it is "long non-coding RNA (GMAX_LNC004739)". Lineage: Eukaryota; Viridiplantae; Streptophyta; Magnoliopsida; Fabales; Fabaceae. The record is from RNAcentral.
UCCUCUCCAGGAAAAAAACUCCCUAAACUAAAACCCUGGUGCUAUUACAUAGGUCCUCAACCCCAAAGCUUACAAAUCUGUUUUAAGUCCACGCUCAUAAACGAAAUAAAAUAAAAUCUGGACAAGAUAAGAUAAGAUUGGAUGAAAUAAAAUCUGGACAAAAUAAAAUCUGGAUAAGAUAAGAUUUGAUAAAAUAAAAUUGUUUGUUCUCUUCAAGUCCAAGCCCAAUUCUGGAUUCAAGCCCAAUUGCUUAUAAUUCUUCUGAAAUUAAAUUAAAAACAUAAAAUUAGUCAAGUAGGCCCAAAUGAUAAAACUGCAUAAUUAAUUUGAUAAUUAAGGCUAAUAAGUAAUUAAAAUGGUGACAAAAAGGGUUAAGAAAUAGGAGAAAAUAAUGACACAUUAGUUAGGUUUAUGGGGUGGACUUAAUGCAGGUUUUUGUGUUGGGGAGUUUUAGUUCAAUAGCUACACAAAGGUACACUUGUUGUCCACUACAUAUUAAGAAUGAGGUUCAUUCAUCUAUUAUGAAAAGUUAAACCAAUUCAUCCAUUUUAUUCAUGAUUGAUCUACUAUAAAAACAAUAAUUGGGAUGUGGAACACUAAAAAAAACUAAGGUAAAAGUUAAAAAAAAUGAUGACUAGGAAUCUAGUUUUACCAAGUAUUUAAGAUCCAACAUCGAAUAAUAAUCAAGACUAAAUAACGGUAUUCUGUUAUUUACUGAGACAUAUUUUAAAGGACAAAAUGUAAAGAUCUAUAAGUGUAAAAACAAAUAAUACCUUAAAUGUGAUCAACAUAACACUCCAGUAGAAUAAGUAGAACAAUACUAUAUAUGACUUUAAUAUGUGAUAUAUGUAAAAUGAUAGCUAAAAUGCAUGGAAGCACCCUAAACCUUAUAGGGCUGCACAUUGCCUCGGGAUUGAUAAUAGCAAGUAAUUUCUAUGCUAGUUGUUUUUCAAACAAUGGUGUUGACACAAUGAGUCAUGAAAAGGUAUUGCAUAAUUAAGUCCAAGACAAUUUAUUGUUCAAUCUCUAUCGAGUUCUGUAAUGUUAUCUCAACUCUCAAGUGUAGUUGGGGCAGGGCUCCACACGACCACUUGGUCCUCAGUGACACAGUUUACUUUGAUGUGACCAUGGGUAACAAACAAGCUAUAUUGAAUGCAUUGAUAUCAGUAUUGACAACAAACAUAGUUAAAUCAAGAGACUUAUUUUAGCCUAUUCUUCGGUGGAGAGAUAAAAAACAUUUUGUUUUUGAAUAAAUAAAAAAUACAAAGGGAGUGAAAGAAAGAAAGUUUAAAAAUCUUAUGUGCCUAUGACGUAAAUUAAGGUUAUCUAAUUUCACCCACUUCUUAUGCGCUUAUAAUCCAUUCUUGCUUGGACUUCAGGCCCCUCACACAAUCCCAUAGCAUAAAUGUCAUUAAUUCCAGACUCAGAUAACUACUACCCUAACCAUUAUAAGUCAUCCUUCCCUCAAUCUUCUUUUUAACAUUAAAAAUCAAGCUAAUAUCGCAAAUAACCAUAACUAGAAAUAUUAUCUCUAUCUUUCUUUUCUUUUUUAACUUGUUGUGAUUUAUAGCAUGUGUACAAUGUGGGAAUAAACCAAACCAAUAAAUACUUUUUACCUUUUUUAUCUUUUGCUUAUAAGAAAAUAAACAUACACUAAUAAGUUGAGUCAAAUGCAUUUUUUGGUCAAAGAUAUGUGCAGGCUCCAAAGCUUGUUUCGCAAUUCAUAUUUUGCUCUGAACUUUCUCCAAAUACCGUGUGGAACAAAGAGUUCAUGCCUUUUUUUUUCUUGGACACAAAAUGAAAGUCAACAUAGAGCAGAAUGCGAGGUAGCUGUAAACGUAAAUAUAUGAUUCUAUAGGCCAGUAAAAUUAAUUUAUAUUUUCAACCCCCAAAAUAUUUUCAAAUUAAUCCCAAAUAGGCCUAUGUGAGGUAGUUGUAAACGUCAAUAUAUGAUUCUAUGAUUUCUAUCUACAAUGUUUGCUAACCAUCACCCACUAACUGACCCACAAAUUCAUAAGUAGAAUUAGUGCCAAAGAGGAAACUAAAUCUGUAGUAAUCAAGAAGGAAACUAAAUCUGCAGUAAUCACAACCAUAGACAUUUAGUUUCUAACCUUACUCCUGUGAAGGUGUCCUUCUUUGGUUACAAAGUGUUUCUGUUUCAAACCCUAGAAUCCGUCAAUCCACAAGAUCUGCUACAAGCAAGAACUAGCAGGCACAUAACACUGCUUGGUCCAUGAAUCAGUGCAUGAAAUUGGUGUUAACGAGCUAGAGUGAAGCUAGAUUUGAGGAUUAC